Molecule: long non-coding RNA, 2124 nt
Organism: Megalobrama amblycephala (Wuchang bream)
Lineage: Eukaryota; Metazoa; Chordata; Actinopteri; Cypriniformes; Xenocyprididae
Exons: 7
Source: RefSeq, a predicted model, not a curated record
AUUGGAGAUGGAGAAAAUCCUGUUCUCGUUUAAGUCCCUAUUAUUUUGAUCCACACUUUUUACAUCGCUGCUAUACAGACUGUAUAUAUUUUGUCUUACAGAAAUUGUGAGGAGACAGAACAGGAACACAUCACAGACGUCACAAAUUUCUCCUACUUUUCAACUUCUUACAGUCAUCAGGCUCCGUUCUGGAGUUGCAACUGGGCUGCAUCAACAACACCAAAUACAAAUAUCAGCUCCAAGACAUGAUCGAACAAUCCCACACAGCAACAGUGACUCAACCAAUGGCGUCCGUUUGGGGGUGGGACUAACGGUUUUUCAGACCAGUAGCAGAAAGGGAGCUUGACCGAUGUAUACUGUCACUAUUUGGAAACCAAAUGUGAAGAUUCUUCAAAAAUUCUCCUUUUGUAUUCUACAGAAGAAAAAAAAAAAUCAGCAUACGGGUGAGAGAGGGUGUGAUUUCUGAUGGAAACCACGAAUUUAGACUCCGAAGAGCUCCGGUCGACACACAAGAUUCGUUCUAAAUCCUCUGACGGCAUUUUUGGGCCAUCGUAAAGGCUACUGCAAAAGCUCUCCAAGAGUCCUGGCUUCAUAUCGCAGGCACUGCUGACAGUUGGUAUCGCAGGAACGGUGCAGAUUUGGGCCUCCAACACCUGGUUAGCACAGUAUAAUGCACCCUGCACACAGCCGAGUGACACAGACAUCGCAGGUCACUCUAUAAUCCAACUCUCAUCUAAAGCAGUCCCAGACAGUUUCAAAUCUGCUUGGAGGAGUGCAGCAAAGCAAUCUCCCAGGCAGCGCUCUACUGCUUUCAUCACACAAACUCACAGCACGGCAUGAAUUACAACAGCUUUCUGUCUGCCGCCCGCCUCCCGGAGCACAGGGAACUGGAAAGGGGGAAAAAACAUGCCUGCCUCCCUCUCAUUCGCUCUAAUGCUCCCCUUUCUCUCUCUUCCUUUUACUCUGACGCUCUAGGUUCUGCCUCUCUCUUUCUCACUGUCUUUUCUCUCCACAGCCUCUGUCUUUUAUUGGCUCCAGGGCUCAAAAGCCACCAUCAAGUUUAAUCCCAAACUCCAUCUGCAAACACAAGCAGUUACAUACGCUGUCAUCUUAGACACAGCAUGGGAUUAUCAAAGAGACAUUUACUCAAGAGCCGACGGGAUGACGGGGGUGGUCGCGCACACUCUCGCCGUCUGUAGAUAGACUUCUGAUGACAACAGCGCUCGGCCGCAGUAUCCAGCAGGCGUGUUAUUGUGCACACACCUCCCGCUUAUCUGAGCUUACUGGGCCUAAGCACUCACAAACACUAUUCAUGGCACAAAGAGGAAAGAAGAUGUCACAGAAAACGACGUCGUUUACGAGCUUUCAGCCCAUGUGCCUGUGUACCUUGAUCUCAAAAGUCUGUCAAAUUACCUACAGACUGAACCUUUUUUAUUAUUUAAUGGCCAAUAACAGCAAAUGAGCAUUUAAAAACUUUACACACCUCAUAAAGCCAAGACAUAAUAAACACAGAUAAUUACUCCCUGUAGCAUGCGCAUCACAAACAAAAGAUCGGUAAGACCACAAUAUAGGUUGCAUUUCAUUUUUUCUUCUGAAAAUAUCCUAUCUUGAUAUCUUGAUAUUUAUUUAUUUAUUUGGCCUGAAACAGCAUCUUUAUUUGCUUUUUAUUUUUUUAUUUUCAAAGGAACCACCAUUUUGACAAAUUAAAAGUGUUUAAAUGCAAACUUUUUUGUAAAAAUCUAGUUAAAAGCAUUCAUAUUUCUCCACAAAUAUAACAAUAUUUAGCAAAAAUUAAAAUAAAACAUUUUAAUAUAUAAAAAAAAUGAUGCACCCAUGAACAGUUUUUGAGCAAUGGUACAAAUUAAUCAUUUUGAUUCAUUGAAAUGGACAGUUUGAAAUGGUUUACAGAAAUGAAUUAAGCUAACCAACUCAAAUGCUGUUUUCACUACUGAAGUUUACAUUUUCUUGAGGCAAUAAAGGGUUGUGAAACUACUCUAAUUACAUAGUCUUUCAGACAAAAUAAAAGUGCACUAAAAUCAUUGCAAUAUUCUCAAUAUUGCCAGCAAAAUCAUCACAAAUAUAACAUGAAUAUUCAGUAUAUCACCCUGCCCUCACUGUAAAAAA